Molecule: long non-coding RNA, 367 nt
Organism: Bombus impatiens (common eastern bumble bee)
Lineage: Eukaryota; Metazoa; Arthropoda; Insecta; Hymenoptera; Apidae
Exons: 2
Source: RefSeq, a predicted model, not a curated record
GUAAUAUAUAAAAAAAUCAUGAAGUGUACAUAUAUUUCCUGCAAGGGUAUAAUGAGGAUAAGGAGAAAUUAAGGCUAUAGAUAGAAUAUACUGAAUAUAGAGAAGGACCGAGAGAGCAGCUGUCAGCUGUGCACGAUGACAUCACACGUAAGCUGAACACGGUUAACUAAAUGUGAUAACUAAAAACGAGAAUGACGCGUGUAAAAUCUACGUACCCCUAUAGAGAUGCAGUUAUCCUCGCCGCCGGAUGGGAAUUUUACGAUGAAUUUCGAGCCAGCCUUCUCCUCGGAGUCGUUCAAAGGUCGAAAUCUGCAGACUACCUUGAUACUGUCCUCCGCGGCAAUCUCACGCUCCCUCGGCGUCUCCA